CUGGCAUUGCUGCUACCUGCUCUAGGUGGCUGAGGAGUGGGACCAGGGCACCUUCAAACUCAGCCCCAUUGAUGCUGACAUCUACACAGCCAACAAGCACCACCUGAAGGCUGCUGGCCAGAUCCCGCAAUACAGCCCCACCACUUUCCUGGCCUCCCCUCACCACCUUGCCUGGGGCCACGUUGAACAUUAGCGCCAUCAUUCUGUUUGCUUCGCCAUUGGCAGACAGGAGGAGCUCAUUGGUGAAACCGCAGGGAAGCCACACACGGGACGGAGCUGGAACAACCAGGUGGUCACGGACCUCAGGUUGUAGAUGUGCAGACCUGCUUCACACUCUCAGGCCUCCUCUGGAAGCUCAUCAGGACUGUGGUGGAUCAGGCAGAGGUUCAAGCAAUUCCAUCCAGUGCCUCAGCCUCCCAAGUAGCUGGGAUUACAGGGAACGUGACAUCAUCUUCCCCGGGUACAUACACCUGCAGAGGGCCCAGCGCAUCCACUGGAGACACUGGAUUCUGAGGAAAUCCUGCAAGGGCAUAAAACUGAAGUAAAUGGAUUGGAUGGAACUGGAGUCAAGAGUGACUCCUGGAUUUACAUAACAAGGCAUCUCACAACCAUGGCUGGCAGAUGCCAAGGGGAUGUGUGAGAUGGCCCAGCUCCAGGACAGGCAUGUGGCACCCAUGAAACUCAACUGGAGGGAAGUUGGGGAGAGUCUCACAGCGCUGGACAAGCCAUCGGAUGGCACCGCCCUAGGGACACACCCAGUGGUGGGGACCGGGAUAUGGAGGACCUAAGGCAAAGGGUGGCUUAAAACGUGACAGCGAAUCAGCCACUGGGGAAAUGCAAGAGGGGAUUUGACACCUGGGCCAGGUGUUCCAGGACAGCAGUUUCCAAAAGAUUUUCCAUCCAAACUUCCAGCAAGAAGUAGAUCUUCCACUGUUACCCAGAGCGUAUCUGCGCAUUCAGGUAACUGAAGCAACACUCCGGGAACCGUCACCAUCCCUCCUGUGGAACAGCUCGCUCUCCAGCUGGAGUCAGCUCUAGGCGGCCUCACUUUAACAAAAUGUUAGCUGCAGCCAUUGGAAUGAAUUUCACACCCUCUAUGAGUUGCAGUGCAAAAUUCGAAGAGUGGCAGUUGAAGCUCAGUAUCAUCAAGGAUUCAUUUAUUUUAUGAUGGUUAACAUUUUCCAAGCCACACUAACCAGGCCAGUUAGUAAUAAUAAUAAUGAUAAUCGGGCGGUCGCGAUGGCCCACACCUGUA
Molecule: non-coding RNA, 1255 nt
Organism: Chlorocebus sabaeus (green monkey)
Lineage: Eukaryota; Metazoa; Chordata; Mammalia; Primates; Cercopithecidae
Source: RefSeq, a predicted model, not a curated record